This is a long non-coding RNA of Bos taurus (domestic cattle), 1210 nucleotides long. The record is from Ensembl. Lineage: Eukaryota; Metazoa; Chordata; Mammalia; Artiodactyla; Bovidae.
AAAAUAGAUUUAGUAAAUGGCUGGGUAACAUGUAUAAAGGGGGAGCAGCUUGUCGCUGACUGCAAGCACUGUGGGUGAAUUCCUUUCCAUUGUAAUUUCCCUAAGUGCUGUCCAGAUCCUCAAAAUCAGACACACACUUCAUUACACUGCUGGGCAAAGGCAAAAGGAGCACCCUCCCCCCCAGUAUCCUAAAGGUUAAGGAUCUACAAUGUAUUUAGCCCAGUGGUGACAGCGCCGUAACAACCAAGGGAAGAAAACAAACGGCCUUGGUCCAUCCCUCAGGGCUUCAGCACUCAAGAAUGCACUUGCGACUGGUCUGGCCGCUCCUGACCCAUUACUUGGUUUGCGGGGCCCUGGAGUUAGGAGGGCUCAGCAUCCAUCCGGGGCCCGACCCCGCCUCACCUAGGGGCCUGCUUCUGUGGCUCCAUCCUCUGCUGCCCCCCGCCGGGCAUUGCCCGGCUCUGCAGCCAAACCCGGGUGCGGCCAGGUUCGGCUUCCUGCAAGCCUUCGCGCGCCCCCGGCUGGGCCCAGACCCCGAGACGGCAGCAGGGCCGUGGAGCUCGGCCCGUCUCGCCCCAGCUCCAACCCAUCGGGGAGAACCAUCCUCGGGCUUCCCUCGGGUCACCUAUCUUCAAACACCUAGGCCCCGGGGGGCAGGAUGUCGCCCCCUGCGUGUACCCGGGGCCUGUUAUGCGCCGGCACCACAGGCGCGCGUCGACACCGGCGACUCCUCAUGGGUGAGCCGCACGAGCCCGCGCGCCGGUCAGCCUUGUCUCCGGGGGCGCUGCCCCUGGAGGUCAAGGGGAACCCGACAACCUGGGAUCGGCGACGGGGCCAGGCCAGGCCAGACCACCCCGGAUGUGAGCAAGGGCGGAGACGGGGCCGCCUUCCAAUCGGGGGCAGCAGCGAGAGCCAAUCACAGCCAGCCUGCCCCGCUCGUCCAAUGGUCGGCCUGUCGCUAGGGCUCUGCUCCGGAAUCAGCCUGGCGGUUGCCCGAGCCCAACCGCUGCGCUCCGCCCGGGCUCUCCUCCCACCGCCGGGCCGUCCUAAGCCACACCCACCCCGCCUCCGUUCACUCUCCCCUCUCUCCUCCCCGGGUCUCCGCCCUCCUCGCGGGCCUUUGUCACCCGGAGUAACCUGGCCAGGCCUCUGUAGGGCAUUACAACGCCUUAUAGGGAGUUAGCGACCUCUGCGGGCCUUGUCCGUUGCC